This is a non-coding RNA of Paramuricea clavata, 321 nucleotides long. The record is from the annotation of a GenBank genome assembly. Lineage: Eukaryota; Metazoa; Cnidaria; Anthozoa; Malacalcyonacea; Plexauridae.
AUAACUACAGUGAAACACGCAAUUUGAUUGGUCAAUAGCCGUGCAGGAUCAGGCUAUCCUGCACGAGGAAUUAAAAUGCCUUCGCGGGAUUCUCAAAAUGUCAUUGUUUCACUGUAGUUAUUUUAUAAAACAAUUACCAAAUGGUUUUCCAAGCAGGAUAGCGUGAUCCAUGCACUUGGGAUGUUGCUCGACUUUCGGAAAGCGUAAAAAUACACUCGCCUGCGGCUCGAGUAUUUUUACGCUUUCCGAAAGUCUCGCGACAUCCCUCGUGCAUGGAUUACGCAAUCUUGCACGGAAAACCAUUCGGUAUUCCUUUAUUCC